Acomys russatus (golden spiny mouse) is the source of this 107-nucleotide small nuclear RNA. NCBI's taxonomy places the organism in Eukaryota, Metazoa, Chordata, Mammalia, Rodentia, Muridae. The record is from RefSeq and is a predicted model, not a curated record.
GUCCUCACCUUGGCAGCACAUAUACUAAAAUCGGACCAAUACAGAGAAGAUUGUUCUGGCCCCUGCACAAGGAUGACAUGCAAAUGUGUGAGGUGUUUCAUAAUUUU